GCAGUCGAGCGAUCAAUAGGAGCUUGCUCCUGUUGGUUAGCGGCGGACGGGUGAGUAACACGUGGGCAACCUGCCUGUAAGACUGGGAUAACACCGGGAAACCGGUGCUAAUACCGGAUAAUCCUUUUCCUCUCAUGAGGAAAAGCUGAAAGUCGGUUUCGGCUGACACUUACAGAUGGGCCCGCGGCGCAUUAGCUAGUUGGUGAGGUAACGGCUCACCAAGGCGACGAUGCGUAGCCGACCUGAGAGGGUGAUCGGCCACACUGGGACUGAGACACGGCCCAGACUCCUACGGGAGGCAGCAGUAGGGAAUCUUCCACAAUGGACGAAAGUCUGAUGGAGCAACGCCGCGUGAGCGAUGAAGGCCUUCGGGUCGUAAAGCUCUGUUGUUAGGGAAGAACAAGUACCGGAGUAACUGCCGGUACCUUGACGGUACCUAACCAGAAAGCCACGGCUAACUACGUGCCAGCAGCCGCGGUAAUACGUAGGUGGCAAGCGUUGUCCGGAAUUAUUGGGCGUAAAGCGCGCGCAGGCGGUCCUUUAAGUCUGAUGUGAAAGCCCACGGCUCAACCGUGGAGGGUCAUUGGAAACUGGGGGACUUGAGUGCAGAAGAGGAAAGCGGAAUUCCACGUGUAGCGGUGAAAUGCGUAGAGAUGUGGAGGAACACCAGUGGCGAAGGCGG
RNAcentral lists this ribosomal RNA (682 nucleotides) under Neobacillus drentensis. RNAcentral's name for it is "bacterial SSU rRNA". It matches the Rfam family "Bacterial small subunit ribosomal RNA", at positions 57 to 724 of the family's 1533-position model. The record is from RNAcentral. Lineage: Bacteria; Bacillati; Bacillota; Bacilli; Caryophanales; Bacillaceae.